GUGGUGACACUUUACCUUGUGUGCAACGUCCUGCCAUUUCGACACACACGAUAAUUAUUAAAAUACAUGGGCCUAGUAGAAUGACCUAUAUUAUAUUUACGCUCACAUCCACUCACACAAGACAGAAGAUUUCGAAGUGAAGUGUCACGUCACAAUCACAAGAGUACAAGGAGCAGUUGACCCUAACUAUUGUCGGAAUGGGGGUAUCAAGAAGUGUCGGUUUGGAGGGCUGUCUAAAUGGAAGUCUGUCAGAAUAAGGGGUAGACGCUGGAUGUUGAGUUGGGUGGUGAAAGUGGUGCCCCAUCCUCCGGACCUGCCCAAAAACAGCGACACCAAGGAGGAGGCGCCAGCCGCUCCACCCGCCGCCCCGAAUGUAAGACAUGUCCACAUUUGA
This 394-nucleotide long non-coding RNA is filed under the name Neogobius melanostomus (round goby). RNAcentral describes it as "lncRNA (ENSNMLG00000025693.1)". Lineage: Eukaryota; Metazoa; Chordata; Actinopteri; Gobiiformes; Gobiidae. The record is from RNAcentral.